Molecule: transfer RNA, 84 nt
Filed under: Chitinophagaceae bacterium
Lineage: Bacteria; Pseudomonadati; Bacteroidota; Chitinophagia; Chitinophagales; Chitinophagaceae
Also listed under: 1 other name
Description: tRNA-Leu
Rfam family: tRNA
About the family: Transfer RNA (tRNA) molecules are approximately 80 nucleotides in length. Their secondary structure includes four short double-helical elements and three loops (D, anti-codon, and T loops).
Source: RNAcentral
GCCCAGAUGGCGGAACUGGUAGACGCGUCAGACUCAAAAUCUGGUGUCCGCAAGGAUGUGCAGGUUCGAUUCCUGUUCUGGGCA